Molecule: ribosomal RNA, 499 nt
Filed under: uncultured bacterium
Lineage: Bacteria
Description: partial 16S ribosomal RNA
Rfam family: Bacterial small subunit ribosomal RNA
Source: RNAcentral
GACGAACGCUGGCGGCGUGCCUAAUACAUGCAAGUCGAGCGAAGUUUUUCUGGUGCUUGCACUAGAAAAACUUAGCGGCGAACGGGUGAGUAACACGUAAAGAACCUGCCUCAUAGACUGGGACAACUAUUGGAAACGAUAGCUAAUACCGGAUAACAGUAUUUCUCGCAUGAGAGAUAUUUAAAAGUUGUUUAUGCUAACAUUAUGAGAUGGCUUUGCGGUGCAUUAGCUAGUUGGUGGGGUAAAGGCCCACCAAGGCGACGAUGCAUAGCCGACCUGAGAGGGUGAUCGGGCACACUGGGACUGAGGCACGGCCCAGAAUCCUCCGGGAGGCAGCAGUAGGGAAUCUUCCGCAAGGGGCGAAAGCCUGACGGAGCAACGCCGCGUGAGUGAAGAAGGAUUUCGGUUCGUAAAGCUCUGUUGUUAGGGAAGAAUGGAUAUGUAGUAACUAUACAUGUAAGAGACGGUACCUAACCAGAAAGCCACGGCUAACUACGUG